Molecule: ribosomal RNA, 254 nt
Filed under: uncultured bacterium
Lineage: Bacteria
Description: partial 16S ribosomal RNA
Rfam family: Bacterial small subunit ribosomal RNA
Source: RNAcentral
UACGUAGGGGGCAAGCGUUGUCCGGAUUUAUUGGGCGUAAAGAGCUCGUAGGUGGUUCGGUAAGUCGGAUGUGAAAUCUCCAGGCUCAACCUGGAGGGGUCAUUCGAUACUGCCGUGACUAGAGUGCGGUAGAGGGGUGUGGAAUUCCCGGUGUAGCGGUGAAAUGCGUAGAGAUCGGGAGGAACACCAGUGGCGAAGGCGGCACCCUGGACCAGCACUGACACUGAGGCACGAAAGCGUGGGGAGCAAACAGG